Molecule: long non-coding RNA, 432 nt
Organism: Carassius gibelio (silver crucian carp)
Lineage: Eukaryota; Metazoa; Chordata; Actinopteri; Cypriniformes; Cyprinidae
Exons: 3
Source: RefSeq, a predicted model, not a curated record
AAACACAUGGCUGCUAAUUUAGAAAUGUGCAAAAUGUUACAUGUUGUCUCUGCCCAUAUGUUGUGUAAUAUGUGCAAAACGAAUGUAGCGUUUAUCAAGCCUGGCUGUCUGUCACCGCAGGAGAUUCUCUCACAUUCAAGGAGGCUUUAACCCAUUGGGUCCCACUGAAGUCCAUUAUAUGGAGAAAAGUACUGGAAUAUUUACCUCAAAAACCUUCAUUUCUUUUCGACUGAAGAAAGAAAGACUUGAACAUCUUGGAUGACAUGGGGGGUAUUCGAGUUCCUGGCAGUGCCAGCUGGAAGAACCACAGGCUGAUGCCAACAUCCCCCACUUUACCUGGCAUUGUGCCCUCCGCAUGCCCGUGCCGUGCACUGAGUUGCCGCGACAACCAAAGCAGUGAAGUGGAGCAAUCCCAGCUGCAGCCCAGAGAAC